This 484-nucleotide ribosomal RNA is filed under the name uncultured bacterium. RNAcentral describes it as "partial 16S ribosomal RNA". It matches the Rfam family "Bacterial small subunit ribosomal RNA", at positions 30 to 507 of the family's 1533-position model. The record is from RNAcentral.
AUUGAACGCUGGCGGCAGGCCUAACACAUGCAAGUCGAGCGGAUGAAGGGAGCUUGCUCCUGGAUUCAGCGGCGGACGGGUGAGUAAUGCCUAGGAAUCUGCCUGGUAGUGGGGGAUAACGUCCGGAAACGGGCGCUAAUACCGCAUACGUCCUGAGGGAGAAAGUGGGGGAUCUUCGGACCUCACGCUAUCAGAUGAGCCUAGGUCGGAUUAGCUAGUUGGUGGGGUAAAGGCCUACCAAGGCGACGAUCCGUAACUGGUCUGAGAGGAUGAUCAGUCAGACUGGAACUGAGACACGGUCCAGACUCCUGCGGGAGGCAGCAGUGGGGAAUAUUGGACAAUGGGCGAAAGCCUGAUCCAGCCAUGCCGCGUGUGUGAAGAAGGUCUUCGGAUUGUAAAGCACUUUAAGUUGGGAGGAAGGGCAGUAAGUUAAUACCUUGCUGUUUUGACGUUACCAACAGAAUAAGCACCGGCUAACUUCGUG